Molecule: ribosomal RNA, 272 nt
Filed under: uncultured prokaryote
Description: partial 16S ribosomal RNA
Rfam family: Bacterial small subunit ribosomal RNA
Source: RNAcentral
UACGGAGGGUGCAAGCGUUAUCCGGAUUCACUGGGUUUAAAGGGUGCGUAGGAGGGCAGGUAAGUCAGUGGUGAAAUCUCCAAGCUUAACUUGGAAACUGCCGUUGAUACUAUCUGUCUUGAAUACUGUGGAGGUGAGCGGAAUAUGUCAUGUAGCGGUGAAAUGCUUAGAUAUGACAUAGAACACCAAUUGCGAAGGCAGCUCACUACACAUAUAUUGACUCUGAGGCACGAAAGCGUGGGGAUCAAACAGGAUUAGAUCCCCUGUAGUCC